Toxotes jaculatrix (banded archerfish) is the source of this 1963-nucleotide long non-coding RNA. RefSeq lists it as uncharacterized. The transcript is spliced from 4 exons. The record is from RefSeq and is a predicted model, not a curated record. NCBI's taxonomy places the organism in Eukaryota, Metazoa, Chordata, Actinopteri, Toxotidae.
AAUUCACAGGUCAGCUUUGAACAGCCACGAAGACAACAUCGCAUCAUUGUGAAUGUGACAAACAAUGAUUUUCAUACACCUGAUCGCCGUCUCUCUGGUCUCUCCGGGAAAAGUUCCGAUCGUUGUGAUAGCUGGUGCUUUCACUCUCCUUCUCCUUGUGGCUUCGUGUUUCGGAGUAAUAAAUCUUCGUAACAAAUCAAGAACCACAACUGUUAAUAAGGGUAACUCUGAAGAUGAAGUGGUCUACACAGAUGUUACAGUGAUAAGAAAUAUGAAGAAAACCUGACCUAACUCACGUCACAAAGUACUGUAAUUUUGUCCACAGUCAUUAAGUUUCAGCCAGUAAAAAAGGGACAAAAAAAUCAAAUGAUUUUCUAUCUGUAAAUGUUUCUUAAGUGUGAUUUAGGAUACUAUUUCUCAAAUCUAUAAUAUACUGAACUACGGAUCAUACACACAGUUAAGAGAAUAGUUUCUCUUCAUUUAUAAAAUCAAUUUUAAAAUUGCAAAUUUGUUUUUAUAGGCAUCUAUGCAUUUGCCAUAAAUAUAAUUUAUUUAUGGCAAAUGCAUUUAUUUAUUAUUUAUUUAUGGUUAUGCGAUUUUAUUUUCUGUUACUUGCCUUGUAAUUGUCUGACAUUGUUGACAAUUUGUGAAACAUUUUUAAGUGUUUUGUCUUUCGACUUUUCCUUGUAUUUUUCAACUAUACAUAGUGAUCAUGUUUGUUUUCAUACAAACCAAAAGACUAAGGUCAAAAAGAAUACAAAGAAGAUAACUCUGUUUCAGGUUACCAUACAACUGAUAAAACAAGUAGUAUGCUUUAUAUGUUGCUUUAUAUGCUUUUGGCCUGUGGUUGUAAUUAGUAAUUGGCCAAUAUUGAUAGAUAAGUGUGACUCAUGGGUGACAUCUAAAGGAUACCCACUGUUCUUGCACUUACUGACAGGAAGAGGCUGGUAAAAGCUGUAAGCAUGUAGUGAUCAUUUCUGACCACAAAACGGAGCUAAAACUCCUCUCCUGUAAUUACAUGAUGGUCAUGAGACAAUACACGUUUAAUCUGUCAUUCAUUAUAUUUACACUUUAGUACUGUUAAAUCCUGGAUUAAGGCAUUAAGGUAUAGCACUGUUUCCAACCCAACUGUAAAUUCAUGUCAGAGCAGGGGUGCCGACAAAUUUCAGAAAAAAAACACACACACAAAAAAAAAACACAAGGUCUUGCAACAUAACAUUAUGGGGCAAUAUAGUGCAUUGGCCAAACAAAUCUAAUUUGAGCAAGCACACAUUGGUGUUAGAUCUCCUUUUAACAGCAUGGUGUUAGAUCUCAGACAGCAUAACUCCACUCAACUUCUUGUCUCAUUGUAUUACAAACUACUGUGCAGUGUUUUAGCAUGUGAUAAAUCACACAUCAAUAUUGUCUUCCAGGAUCGUAUUUCAUCUUCUGAGGGCUGCCUGUAGCUAUACACCCACCCCAAUGUAGCCAGUGUAUUUGUUUUUGUGUGUCUCAAACAUUACUGGUAAUUAGACCUAAUGACAUAGAUAAAGUCAUGCAUCAAGCGUCAAGACAAGGCUAAAAUGAAAGCUUGAUUUGUUAGUCUCCACUGUGCAGAUUCUACUGCCGGACGCAUCAGUUUACCACAGCAGGACCACAUCUCACAUCUCACUUUCUAUUUUUGCCAUCUUGUUUUUCGAUCAUGUAUUUUUUCUUAGCAGUCCCUGAAGCAAACUUAUCGGAAGGAAAAAACCUGUGGUUUUUAACUGACGCACUACUAAAUGAUGUGCAUGUGUUCACAGUCAGGCUUGCAAACCAACCUUGCCCCUUCGAAAUUAUAUUUAUAUCCUACUCAUCUGCAACUUCAAAUACUUUUCAAUGAAACAAUGCACAUUACAUUUUCUAUUAAUACAAUGAUGAAAUGCAAUGUAAUUAAUAUAUUUGCCAAGUUGAAAAAUGUUGGUAAUGAACACAUUGGCAAAAU